Molecule: non-coding RNA, 1631 nt
Organism: Kogia breviceps (pygmy sperm whale)
Lineage: Eukaryota; Metazoa; Chordata; Mammalia; Artiodactyla; Physeteridae
Source: RefSeq, a predicted model, not a curated record
CUCCUUGUUGCUGGGGUUGUAACUGUUGCACCCUAGGGAUUGUACUUCACAAAAGACAGGGUCUGAGUGCAGUUGCUGGAGAAGGGUCUCGAUGGACCACAUGCACUACGCUCGCUGGAGACUGCCCGUGUCAGAAGCUGCUGUAGUAGAAGGUGAUUGCUGAGAAAAGCCAGUGCCACACUUGUUGCCGCUGCCUACAUCUAGAACCCGUGCCUGCCGUUUGCAUUGAGGAUGCCUCCCUUCCCCUAUCUCUCUUCAGAGUGAUUCCUUAAACCCUUUAUUUUCUUUACUAUUGGGUGUGACUAAUUUGAGUGUAUUGAGUGCAAUAAGCCAAGUGAUUUUAGCCUCUUAUACAAUUGGCUCAUGACAUGUUUUAUGACUUCUCAAUCCCACCAUUCUUCCCUGGCCUUGUUGCUUUGGCUUGUGGAAAACACCCGCACACAGUAAGGAACUAUAAUAUGUGCUGGGUGGGCGACUUAAUUUAUGUGUCUUACCCCUGAACCCAGUUAACGCAGAUGCAGGGGUAGUCUAAAAUCACCGAAUCAUGGAGUAUUAGAGCUGGAAGGGACCUUUAAAGGACAUCUAGUCCAACCCUCAGAAUUAACUGACUAAGGAACUAACAUCUGGAGAAGUGAAGUAAUUCUCCCAAGUGUAUAGAUGGUUGUGUUAUAGUCGAAUUCCAUUACAUACCCCUGGAAUAACUAGCCCUGUAGAGACUCAGGUGCACCAUAAGCUCAUAGAAGGCAGGUAUGACUUCUUAGAUUCUUUUUCAUCCUCCUUGCACUCUAGCUCCUGUCCCCGCCCCUCACCCUCACCCCCAAUCACUUAGAGAGUAAAUGAGUGACUGCAUAUCUUCAUUGCCUGAUGUAUACACUUUUGUAUACAUACAAACAGGGAAAAAGACACAUACCAAAGGCACAUGCAUAGUUUCCCCUCCAGCCCCCACCCUCUGGGAACCACUAACCCAUCUUCUCUCCAUAUGGAUUUGCCUAUUCUGGACAUUUCAUAUAAAUGAAACCAUACAAAGAGAGGUCCACAUACCAUAUGUCUAAAUACUGAAACAUUUAAAAUCAGCCUAGCAAACUGUUAAAAUGUUUUAUCUUCUUGCCUUGACAAAUACACCGUCACAAAGAGGGUCACGUUCCAAUUUAGAAUCCUCAGACUUCUUGGAAUGCUGUUGGGAGAGGUGGCAGUGUGGAGAGAGCUACCUCCAGUGCUCACUCAACCCACGCCCUUCUCUUCUCAGCCCAUCUCUUCUCUUCUCCAUCCCGCACCAUGAGGGGCUCUGCGUGUGCGUGGCCGCCCAGCCCCCAAGUGCAAGGGUAGUCACCCGCUCUCCUGUGAGCAGUCGCCCCCAGUAGCCCUAAAGGGAGGACACACGCUGGGAAGAGACUGGCUCAGAUGGUCCCGAUCUGAGCUUGGAGUGAUGUUUUGGAGUCCCCGUUGCUCCAAUUUAGCCCUGAUGCACAGUGAUACUUACGGCUGGUCCUUGGAAACCACCUGUCAAUCACCAGGGCCAUGACUUGCUAAGGGAAUAUGAAAGACAUUUCACAAAGAUUCUACCUUACCAUCAAAAAGAAUGUUUUAAAAACCAAACUUUAUCCCACUCCCUUGCAGUGAGUUAUGGGCUC